RNAcentral lists this unclassified non-coding RNA (295 nucleotides) under uncultured Cortinarius. RNAcentral describes it as "sequence contains ITS2". The stretch from base 1 to 52 matches the Rfam family "5.8S ribosomal RNA", at positions 103 to 154 of the family's 154-position model. Lineage: Eukaryota; Fungi; Basidiomycota; Agaricomycetes; Agaricales; Cortinariaceae. The record is from RNAcentral.
AACGCACCUUGCGCUCCUUGGUAUUCCGAGGAGCAUGCCUGUUUGAGUGUCAUUAAUAUAUCAACCUCUUUAGCUUUUGCUAAUUGAGUGUUGGAUGUGGGGGAAUUUUGCUGGUCUCUUUUUAAACGAGGUCAGCUCCCCUAAAAUGCAUUAGCGGAACAUUUGUUGACCGUUCAUUGGUGUGAUAACUAUCUACGCUAUUGACGUGAGGCAGUUCAGCUUCUAACAGUCCAUUGACUUGGACAAUUUUCGUUAAUGUGACCUCAAAUCAGGUAGGACUACCCGCUGAACUUAA